GGAUAAGUGGAAAUGGUUUUCCGUUUUGAUUGCAGAUCUUAAAUAUAAGGUUCAAUUCCUUCUUGUCUC
RNAcentral lists this transfer RNA (69 nucleotides) under Gonatophragmium mori. Its description in RNAcentral is "tRNA-Cys". Lineage: Eukaryota; Fungi; Ascomycota; Dothideomycetes; Acrospermales; Acrospermaceae. The record is from RNAcentral.